UAGGGAAUCUUCGGCAAUGGACGAAAGUCUGACCGAGCAACGCCGCGUGAGUGAAGAAGGUUUUCGGAUCGUAAAACUCUGUUGUUAGAGAAGAACAAGGACGUUAGUAACUGAACGUCCCCUGACGGUAUCUAACCAGAAAGCCACGGCUAACUACGUGCCAGCAGCCGCGGUAAUACGUAGGUGGCAAGCGUUGUCCGGAUUUAUUGGGCGUAAAGCGAGCGCAGGCGGUUUCUUAAGUCUGAUGUGAAAGCCCCCGGCUCAACCGGGGAGGGGUAUUGGAAACUGGGGGACUUGGGUGCAGAAGAGGGGAGUGGAAUUCCAUGUGUAGCGGUGAAAUGCGUAGAAAUAUGGGGGAACACCAGUGGCGAAGGCGGCUCUCUGGUCUGUAACUGACGGUGAGGCUCGAAAGCGGGGGGGGCAAAAAGG
RNAcentral lists this ribosomal RNA (429 nucleotides) under Gemmatimonadota bacterium. RNAcentral's name for it is "Gemmatimonadetes bacterium partial 16S ribosomal RNA". It matches the Rfam family "Bacterial small subunit ribosomal RNA", at positions 355 to 776 of the family's 1533-position model. The record is from RNAcentral. Lineage: Bacteria; Pseudomonadati; Gemmatimonadota.